ACGGAGCCGUCAAGUCGGACACGUUGGGGAUCUCGUUGCUUCUUCAAACAUGGCAGAUCACGUGGCGUUUGCCUACUUUAUUGCAGAUGAACUGGAAGCUAUAGAAAUACAUUUUUUGUUGGAAUAAAUGCAGCAGGAUGAACAACGACGCUCCUCCACAACAGUUCCCAAACUGGUCAACAUCUUUUUUUUCAAAAGAUUGUCUGCGCCUCUCUUUUAGUUGACGCCAUCUCUCCAGGUCCGGCCUUACAAGAGACUCAAGCACAGCUGUUCUUCGUUCUGCAUGCGCUUCAUAUGCCUCAAAAAAUUGUGAGGGUUGUUAGGAUCUCUGCCUCCUGGACAUGCUUGUCCUGGCAGAGGUCCCCGGCUGCUCGUCUACAGAAGCACCUGCUGCCUGAGCUUGAGGAAGAGAGAUUGAUGGAGGCCUGUUUUGAGAAGGUGGAUCUUCCAAACAUAGAGGAGUAGAGCAGAUAGUUCCAGGUGGUGCAGUUCCUAUUCCAGAGGACCCAAAUAGCUCAUCCAUUUGCUGCAGAAAAAGCACAAUGUGAUACGAAAGUGACUUUGUAAUAAGAUGCAAAAUGAUCUUAUACAGUGCAGUCUUAGACUUACUGUGUAGUACUCCCAGGUUUGCUUUCCCUCCCCAGUUGCACGGCGGCGAUCCUUAACUCUUUUUCUUAGGUGCCAUACCUUGUGAUUCAGGGCAGUCUAUCUGGACGGAGGAUGGGUUUCUGGCUCCUGAAGGGUUACCACCCACUACAUCGGUUUUUAGGGUGGUAGUCGGUAGGUCCUGGCUAAUGGUUGUCUGUUGCACAGGGCACUGGCUGGUUGGUGGUUUCACAAAACUGAGAUUUAGGGGUACAGGUGACUCAGUGGAGGUAGAGGGACAUAGAGAAGGAGGUGGGGGAAACACUGCAGCACAAGCUAGAUCGCUGAUACUGUAGGAGCUGUUUA
Molecule: long non-coding RNA, 951 nt
Organism: Clarias gariepinus (North African catfish)
Lineage: Eukaryota; Metazoa; Chordata; Actinopteri; Siluriformes; Clariidae
Exons: 3
Source: RefSeq, a predicted model, not a curated record